CCUACGGGUGACAGCAGUAGGGAAUCUUCCACAAUGGGCGAAAGCCUGAUGGAGCAACGCCGCGUGGGUGAAGAAGGUCUUCGGAUCGUAAAACCCUGUUGUUAGAGAAGAAAGUGCGUGAGAGUAACUGUUCACGUUUCGACGGUAUCUAACCAGAAAGCCACGGCUAACUACGUGCCAGCAGCCGCGGUAAUACGUAGGUGGCAAGCGUUAUCCGGAUUUAAUGGGCGUAAAGGGGACGCAGGCGGUCUUUUAAGUCUGAUGUGAAAGCUUUCGGGUUAACCGGAGUAGUGCAUUGGAAACUGGGGGACUUGAGUGCAGGAGAGGAGAGUGGAACGCCAUGUGUAGCGGUGAAAUGCGUAGAUAUAUGGAAGAACACCAGUGGCGAAAGCGGCUCUCUGG
This 402-nucleotide ribosomal RNA is filed under the name uncultured bacterium. RNAcentral's name for it is "partial 16S ribosomal RNA". It matches the Rfam family "Bacterial small subunit ribosomal RNA", at positions 338 to 732 of the family's 1533-position model. The record is from RNAcentral.